ACUUUCAACAACGGAUCUCUUGGCUCUGGCAUCGAUGAAGAACGCAGCGAAAUGCGAUAAGUAAUGUGAAUUGCAGAAUUCAGUGAAUCAUCGAAUCUUUGAACGCACAUUGCGCCCGCCAGCACUCUGGCGGGCAUACCUGUCCGAGCGUCAUU
This 155-nucleotide ribosomal RNA is filed under the name Perennicordyceps ryogamiensis. Its description in RNAcentral is "Polycephalomyces ryogamiensis 5.8S ribosomal RNA". It matches the Rfam family "5.8S ribosomal RNA". From Rfam's summary of the family: 5.8S ribosomal RNA (5.8S rRNA) is a component of the large subunit of the eukaryotic ribosome. It is transcribed by RNA polymerase I as part of the 45S precursor that also contains 18S and 28S rRNA. Functionally, it is thought that 5.8S rRNA may be involved in ribosome translocation. The record is from RNAcentral. Lineage: Eukaryota; Fungi; Ascomycota; Sordariomycetes; Hypocreales; Polycephalomycetaceae.